CAUUAUUGAAUAAACUUGAACAAGCUGUUUUUUGUUUGCUGGCUUCUUUGGAGGCAUGUGCACGCUUGUCAUCUUUAUGUUUCCAACUUGUGCACUUAUUGUAGAUCUUGGGAAGUUUGAAUUAUUUUCUAUAGAUUGAGGACUGCUGUGCUUUACAAAAAAGGUCAGCUUUGCCUUGUAUUUCAAGAUCUAUGUUUAUCAUAAACCUGUUAAGAAUGUUAAAAAAGAGUUUAUAAUAAUUUAUACAACUUUCAGCAACGGAUCUCUUGGCUCUCGCAUCGAUGAAGAACGCAGCGAAAUGCGAUAAGUAAUGUGAAUUGCAGAAUUCAGUGAAUCAUCGAAUCUUUGAACGCAUCUUGCGCUUCUUGGUAUUCCGAGGAGCAUGCCUGUUUGAGUGUCAUUAAAUUCUCAACCAUAUUAAAUUCUUUUGAUAUGGCUUGGUUAUUGGAAGCCUGCAGGUCCUUUUUUCUACGGGUCUGCUCUUCUAAAAUGCAUUAGUGGAGUAAAAGCUACUUACAGAUGUGAUAAUUAUUUACAUCUCUAUAGCAGAUCAUGCCGCUACUAACAAAAGUUGAACAUGUAUUAUAUAUUUGACCUCAAAUCAGGUAGGAGUACCCGCUGAACUUA
Molecule: ribosomal RNA, 627 nt
Filed under: uncultured Inocybe
Lineage: Eukaryota; Fungi; Basidiomycota; Agaricomycetes; Agaricales; Cortinariaceae
Description: eukaryotic LSU rRNA
Rfam family: 5.8S ribosomal RNA (bases 247-400)
Source: RNAcentral